RNAcentral lists this ribosomal RNA (392 nucleotides) under uncultured bacterium. Its description in RNAcentral is "partial 16S ribosomal RNA". It matches the Rfam family "Bacterial small subunit ribosomal RNA", at positions 523 to 918 of the family's 1533-position model. The record is from RNAcentral.
AUACGGAGGAUCCGAGCGUUAUCCGGAUUUAUUGGGUUUAAAGGGUGCGCAGGCGGCCAUUUAAGUCAGCGGUUAAAUCGUGGGGCUCAACCCCAUUCUGCCGUUGAUACUGGGUGGCUUGAUUGCGGUCGAGGUUGGCGGAAUUCGUUGUGUAGCGGUGAAAUGCAUAGAUAUGACGAAGAACACCGAUUGCGUAGGCAGCUGACCAGAUCGCAAAUGACGCUCAUGCACGAAAGUGCGGGGAUCGAACAGGAUUAGAUACCCUGGUAGUCCGCACAGUAAACGAUGAAUACUCGCUGUUUGCGAUAUACGGCAAGCGGCCAAGCGAAAGCAUUAAGUAUUCCACCUGGGGAGUACGCCGGCAACGGUGAAACUCAAAGGAAUUGGCGGGG